CUGUAGGUCCAAUUGCAGCAUAAAAUGAAGCAAGAGGCAGAUUUCGACAAUGGAAGGCUUAUCGAGAAAAGGAGUUACUUCAGCUGAAAAGAUUUGCUUGGAGAGAACUGCAAAUAGCUACAGACAACUUUAGUGAGAGAAAUGUUUUAGGACAGGGAGGCUUUCGGAAGGCUUAUAAAGGUGUUCUACCCGAUGGCACAAAAAUUGCUGUUAAAAGAGAGUAUAAGCAGGAACUGUCCCACUAUGGUCAAAAGGUCAACAUCAUCCUUAGCAAACUCAGGAAGCAAAUCACUCUCUGCAAUCUACAGAUAGAGGAGGCAGAAUAUAUUCGCAAGCUCAGGAAACUUUUCGAGGUUGCCUAUCAUCUUCGAGAACUCAAACCUGGGGAGGUGUUUUGGAUUGGCCUACGAGAAAAAAAGUGGCUCUGGGAACAGCCCAAGGCCUAGAAUAUCUUCAUGAGCAAUGCAAUCCUAAGAUUAUUGAUCGGGAUGUGAAAGCAGCUAAUGUAUUACUGGACGUGAAGGCAACUAAUGUCACUUCUGUAGCUAUAUGUCAC
Molecule: long non-coding RNA, 556 nt
Organism: Arachis stenosperma
Lineage: Eukaryota; Viridiplantae; Streptophyta; Magnoliopsida; Fabales; Fabaceae
Exons: 5
Source: RefSeq, a predicted model, not a curated record